AGCGCGUGUAGGCUGCUUCGAAAGUCGGAUGUGAAAGCCCUGGGCUCAACCUAGGAAGUGCAUUCGAAACUUCGAAGCUGGAGUCCUGGAGAGGAUAGCGGAAUUCUCGGUGUAGAGGUGAAAUUCGUAGAUAUCGAGAGGAACACCGGUGGCGAAGGCGGCUAUCUGGACAGUGACUGACGCUGAGACGCGAAAGCGUGGGGAGCAAAACAGGAUUAGAUACCCUGGUAGUCCACGCCGUAAACGAUGGGUGCUAGGUGUCGCGGGGCUUUGACCCCUGCGGUGCCGUAGCUAACGCAUUAAGCACCCCGCCUGGGGAGUACGGCCGCAAGGCUAAAACUCAAAGGAAUUGACGGGGGCCCGCACAAGCGGUGGAGCAUGUGGUUCAAUUCGACGCAACGCGCAGAACCUUACCUGGGCUAGAAAAUGCAGGGACCUGGUUGAAAAAUCGGGGUGCUCUUCGGAGAACCUGUAGUUAGGUGCUGCAUGGCUGUCGUCAGCUCGUGUCGUGAGAUG
RNAcentral lists this ribosomal RNA (516 nucleotides) under uncultured bacterium. Its description in RNAcentral is "bacterial SSU rRNA". It matches the Rfam family "Bacterial small subunit ribosomal RNA", at positions 564 to 1074 of the family's 1533-position model. The record is from RNAcentral.